UUUCAUCUCUUGACAGAGAAAAAGCUGUGAAAAUGGGAGCCCCAAAGCAUAAGUGGACACUGAAAGAAGAAGAAGCUCUUGUGGCUGGAGUACUCAAACAUAGAAAUGGAAAAUGGCUUUACAUACUCGCACGACUCUGAGUACUACCUCUCUCCUGACCCCAACCCCAACCCCAACUUCCACACUUCCCAUACCCCUAGCAGCCACAUCCACACCUCGUUUUUUUUGCUGAUAACCACAUCCACAAACCCCCUGUGCACAAAUCCCAAACAACCACAUCCAUAGACGCUCUGUCCGCAAUACCCGAACAAGACGCACAUAGUGAUCUCAGCUGUCUUGAUCAAGUUACUUUUUAGGUGCUGAUUAACAAUCUCUUUUACCUCAUGCUCAAUUUUGUAAUGUAUGUACUAAAACUUUCUUUUGUAGCCUCAACCGGCUUUUGUUAGGCGCAACCAAUUCUUAGACGCUAGUGUACAAUUUUUUACUUGUCUUUUGUAAUCAGCCUAAUUAUGUGUUCAAAUCCACUCACAAGACACUUUGUUCAUCAUUUGUCAUGUUAAUUAUUAAAAUAUAUUAAAAUAGAUGUUAAAAUGUAGAAACAAAAAAAUUACAAUUGAUUAUAGCAAUCAUAUUUAUUUAUGUAUUUUUUAAUUUAAAAUACAAAUAAAUAAAGAUAGAGAGAUCAAUGAAUAAUAACAAUAAAACAAAUAGAAAAAGAUAAUUAAAUUAAUACAUCCUCUAUCAUCCUCCGCAAGAGUCUCUUUUGUUCAAAAACAAAGAAGCUAUAACCAUCCUUACAUAAAAAAAAUAGUAUAAAAUCAUGUGGUUAAUAAUCAAUCUCACUAACCUAUAAACCAAACAAUAUUUAAUGUCUAAACUAUACUAACAAAAGAGGCUACUUACCUGUUUCGAUUUCCCAACCAAAAUCCAACUAGUUUACUAAAUGACCAAGGGUAUAAUGGUCUGAAAUCAGCAUCGAAACCAGCAUUUAUGUGCUUCAAGCAAUAAAUGUUUUAUUGUGUAAAGAAAAAGAGAAAAGUAUCCAAUUAUGUAACUCACUCAUAAAUAGCAUGGUAAUUAUCUCAAAAACAAGGACAAAAUCUUAUAAGAGAUUAUGCUUUAAUAAUAUAGAUUGUCUUAUACUUCAGUUUUAAUAAAAUAGAUUUAGUAAAAACAAACCAAACGAUUUGCUAGAUACAAUAUAUGGAAAACACAACCUCUUUUGUUUCUAUCCAGGUUAAUUCUUUAACUAUUAACCUGGACUACAAUCCUUGGAAUUUAAAGCAAUCUCGGUCAAUAGAAACAUAGACAAUACAAUUAUACAAAAUAUGAUAACCGAAUUUGCCUAAUCGUUAGGAAUAGUAACUAUAUUUUAAUUUUGCAAAACUCGGUGAGAUAAGAUUCCGAGUAUGGCAAAAGGUUUUCGAAAAAUCUAAACACCUUAACGUGUUUGAUCAAAUGUUAAGAACUAUUUAUUAUUUUAAAAUGAAUGAAAUCCAGCGCUAGUUGUAUGUUUAUUAAAGUUGGGUUUCGCACGACGAUGGAUAUCUCGGAUAAUGUAUUGCAUCUCUUCGGUACAUUACAAAGUUUUAAUUAAUGGUCAGCCAAAAAGACAUAUUAUACCAAAUAGAGGAUUUCGACAGGGUUAUCCUUUGCCGCUUUAUUUAUUUAUUUUGUGCACUGAAGCACUAAUAGAAAAUAUUCGGAAAAAAGAAGAAUAAAAGUUACUAACUGGGCUAAAAAUUGUGCGCGGCAGUCCGGCAAUUUCACAUUUAUUAUUUGCUGAUGAUAGUUUCUUUUUCUGCAAAGCCAAUAGGCAAGAAUGUGAGGUCAUUGUAAAGAUUUUGAAAGAUUAUGAAAGAGCGUCUGGACAGCAGAUCAAUUUUUUGAAAUCGUCCCUACAGUUUGGACAUAAGGUACCAGAUUCAGUACGAUUAGAGGUACAACAGGUAUUGGGUAUUACUACAAUAGGUGGCAUGGGAACAUACUUGGUAAUCCCAGAAAGUCUUGGUGGUUCUAAAACACAAUGUUUGGGUUUUCUCAAUGAAAAGGUUAAUAAUAAGGUCAAUAAUUGGACUCUCCGAUUUCUCACGAAGGGCGGGAAGGAAGUCUUAAUAAAAGCAGUAGAAUCCCCCAUGCCAACUCAUGUUAUGUCUUGCUUCCGUUUACCAAAAACGGUUACUAAGAAACUUACGAGCACAAUUGCUCACUUUUGGUGGAGUGGCAGCGGCAAUACAAAAGGCAUGCAUUGGUUUUCAUGGGACAAAUUGUGUAAGGAUAAAGCAGAAGGGGGCAUUGGUUUUAGAGAUAUUCAGAAUUUUAAUACGGCUUUAUUAGCAAAACAGUUGUGGAGAUUAAUCGACAAACCAAAUUCUUUGUUUGCAAGGGUUUUUAAAGGUAGAUAAUAUUACCGAAACUCAGAUCCUUUGGAUCUUAUCAGAUCAUAUUCUCCCUCAUAUUGGUGGAGGAGUAUCACAUCAGCUAGAUCUAAUAAAAGGCUAAUCAAAAGAGUGGAAACAGUUUCAACCAUUUCAGUCUGGAAUGAUCCUUUGAUCCCCGCUCCUCGCCUGAAGUCAGCAAUCCCAAAAUUCUCAAAUCAAUUCUUGAAUCCAUUACUUAAGGUCGAGGAUUUAAUUAAUCCAGUUGAUCUUUUUUGGAACCUGGAAUUACUCAACGCAUAUGUCCAUCAGGACGAUGUGAGUACUAUACGGAUUUUAGCCAUUAAUCGUCACCCUAAGCCAGAUUCAUAUGGCUGGCAUUUUACGGAUCAUGGUAGAUACACGGUAAAAUCAGGCUAUCGGACAGAGAAAUUAUAUCCUGAUAAGGGUACUCAGUAUAGGGAUAUGGGACCGGAUACAAAACCAUUAUUGGCGCACUCUUGGAAGUUACAAUGCUCACCAAAAUUGAAACAUUUUGUUUGGCAAAUAAUUUCUGGUUGAGGAUUUUGCAUUACCCAUGUUAUAUAAUUCAUAUUAAUGAAAUUACACCGAAGAAAUCAUCAAAACGGGCUCAAAACGUACAUAAAAUAUACCCUAAAACCAAUAAAUACAGUUUACAAAAUCCUUUUAAAUCUCUUAAAAUUUGCAUUCAACCUUUCUUUUGUUACACUAGCCGAUAUAUACACUUAUUUUUAUAAGUAUUCCAGCAAAAAUUUAAUCAAAAACGGACAUAAAUUAAACCCGAAAUUCAUAUACACAGUUUUUAAAUUCAUUUUUUCUCUUUCAAAUUUUCAUCAAUUCUUACUUUUUUAGGUUACCCAUGGUUUACACAAACAUUUAAAAGAUAUUUCACACAAAAUUUCAUGAAAAACGGACAAGAAUUACCUGAUGUUAAAGCUUCAAAAUCGCCAAUGAAGGAUGAGGAAGAAGAGCUCUUCACGCUUACAGAGGAGAGAGGAGAGGAAACAUGAAGACAUGUGGGCCAAGGUAAAUCUGAUUGGUUAAGGUUGUUUGUGGACCCCAUUUGGUUGUUGUGUUUGGUUGAGUGUAUUUAAUUGAAAAAUUAAAUGAAUUAAUGAGGUGGAGAAGAAAUAUAUUAAAGAAAGAAAGGUUAGUAUAGGGAAUUCAAAGACAAAAGGCUAAUGGGAAAAGAGAAGGGACAAGAAGAAUGAAUUUUUUUCAAUAAGGGCAUUUGGAGUUAAACUCCCCCCCUCGACCAAACCAGACUAAUAGUAAACUAAAAGAAACCAAUCAUAACACGCGUUUAAAAUCCAAAAGCGAAGGUGAAAACCCUAAUUUUCCUAGAAUCCAAAUCUAAAUUUCUCUCACUCAUUGCGUCCGAUAACUAAAAUCUCAAACAAAACACCCUUGUCACUCGCGUUUCUAUCAAGCCAUGGUGGAACCUCUAGCUUAGUCGAUUUUUCAUUCCUCAUUCGAGUACCAACACUGAUCUUCCUCCUUUUUCAUGUUCCAGCUCCUCUUCCUCGGCCUCCAACUUUUUGCUCAGAGGCUGCUCCGCCAGGAGGGCCUCUCCAAGACGUCCCUUCGCGUCGCCGUGGUCAAGCUCCUCCUCGAUGGCCGGUGAGACAGCCAUGGAUUCCGAGCUCAAGAUCUUCGUGGAUGGUCGGCAGUGUUCGUUCUCUUCUACGGAAAGCAGAGUCAAGUGUGGUCUCAUCCAGAGAGAACGUGGCAAGCUUUCCCCGUCUGAUCUCUAAGCAUCUCUACUCUUGAACAACUCAAGAACUCUGCAUCUGACAGUAACAUAUCUCCCUUUCUUAUCUGAGUUUUUAUUUUGAAAUUUGAUUUAUUUUGAGAUUCAUACUUAGUUUAUGUAAUUUUCAUCAUCUGGCUAUUCAAAGUUUGAAUCUUUUGUGGAUCAGAUUUAAUUUUCAAUGAUAUUUCAUAUUUGGAUUUAGAUAUGUAAACGGCAACCUAUUGGUUUUAUAUUUUGAGCAAAUGUAAUUUUUUUUUUGUAAGUGUGUUUGCAUGUUUGGUGUGUGUGUUUUCUGUUGAUUAUCUAAGUCAUUAAUAAAAUUGAAGAAGUUGAAUUCUCUUAACCGUCUCUUCUACAUCUUAAUUUCAUGUUUCUAAAGUAUUCAUUUUGUGAUGGUUUCAUCUCUUGACAGAGAAAAAGCUGUGAAAAUGGGAGCCCCAAAGCAUAAGUGGACACUGAAAGAAGAAGAAGCUCUUGUGGCUGGAGUACUCAAACAUAGAAAUGGAAAAUGGCUUUACAUACUCGCACGACUCUGAGUACUACCUCUCUCCUGACCCCAACCCCAACCCCAACUUCCACACUUCCCAUACCCCUAGCAGCCACAUCCACACCUCGUUUUUUUUGCUGAUAACCACAUCCACAAACCCCCUGUGCACAAAUCCCAAACAACCACAUCCAUAGACGCUCUGUCCGCAAUACCCGAACAAGACGCACAUAGUGAUCUCAGCUGUCUUGAUCAAGUUACUUUUUAGG
This 4905-nucleotide long non-coding RNA is filed under the name Brassica napus (rape). RNAcentral describes it as "long non-coding RNA (BNAP_LNC012596)". The record is from RNAcentral. Lineage: Eukaryota; Viridiplantae; Streptophyta; Magnoliopsida; Brassicales; Brassicaceae.